Molecule: ribosomal RNA, 466 nt
Filed under: uncultured bacterium
Lineage: Bacteria
Description: partial 16S ribosomal RNA
Rfam family: Bacterial small subunit ribosomal RNA
Source: RNAcentral
GACGAACGCUGGCGGCGUGCUUAACACAUGCAAGUCGAACGGAAAGGCCCUGCUUGCCGGGUACUCGAGUGGCGAACGGGUGAGUAACACGUGGGUGAUCUGCCCUGCACUUCGGGAUAAGCUUGGGAAACUGGGUCUAAUACCGGAUAGGAGCCAUCUUUAGUGUGGUGGUUGGAAAGUUUUUUCGGUGUAGGAUGAGCUCGCGGCCUAUCAGCUUGUUGGUGGGGUAAUGGCCUACCAAGGCGGCGACGGGUAGCCGGCCUGAGAGGGUGUACGGCCACAUGGGGACUGAGAUACGGCCCAGACUCCUACGGGAGGCAGCAGCGGGGAAUAUUGCACAAUGGGCGCAAGCCUGAUGCAGCGACGCCGCGUGGGGGAUGAAGGCCUUCGGGUUGUAAACUCCUUUCGCUAGGGACGAAGCUUUUUUGUGACGGUACCUAGAGAAGAAGCACCGGCUAACUACGUG